Molecule: non-coding RNA, 98 nt
Organism: Schizophyllum amplum
Lineage: Eukaryota; Fungi; Basidiomycota; Agaricomycetes; Agaricales; Schizophyllaceae
Source: the annotation of a GenBank genome assembly
ACACCAAUGGUGAAGCGGUUAUCAUGCUUGCCUUCCACGUUACGCAUCACGUGUGCUUACGUCAGCAAGCGGCAGGGGUUCGACUCCCCUUGGGUGUA